UAAACUUAAUAAUUUGACGGUAAUUUAUUUCAUAAAGGAAUAUGUAAUUUAAUCGAAUUUACACGAAUUAUUUCACUUAUAUUUAUCUUGUAUACCUCCGUUUAGAUUAUGUUUAUAGUUAAAUUUUCUAAAAAAUUACUAUUAAAAUUUCAGGUCAAGGUGCAGUAUAUAUAAGGUAUUAUGUAUUACAUUAAAUAAGUAGUUAUUGGAUUUACUUUGUAAAUGUUAGUGAAAGUGAAUUUAUAAGUAGGAAAGAUUAAAAUAUUUUUUUGAAAAUUUAAUAUUUAUGUACACAU
RNAcentral lists this ribosomal RNA (296 nucleotides) under Opisthopatus cinctipes. Its description in RNAcentral is "partial 12S ribosomal RNA". Lineage: Eukaryota; Metazoa; Onychophora; Udeonychophora; Euonychophora; Peripatopsidae. The record is from RNAcentral.